AGAUGGCGACCGGCGCACGGGUGAGUAACACGUAUCCAACCUGCCGAUAACUCGGGGAUAGCCUUUCGAAAGAAAGAUUAAUACCCGAUGGUAUAAUCAGACCGCGUGGUUUGAUUAUUAAAGAAUUUCGGUUAUCGAUGGGGAUGCGUUCCAUUAGGCAGUUGGUGAGGUAACGGCUCACCAAACCUUCGAUGGAUAGGGGUUCUGAGAGGAAGGUCCCCCACAUUGGAACUGAGACACGGUCCAA
This 247-nucleotide ribosomal RNA is filed under the name uncultured bacterium. RNAcentral's name for it is "partial 16S ribosomal RNA". It matches the Rfam family "Bacterial small subunit ribosomal RNA", at positions 86 to 334 of the family's 1533-position model. The record is from RNAcentral.